RNAcentral lists this ribosomal RNA (422 nucleotides) under uncultured bacterium. Its description in RNAcentral is "bacterial SSU rRNA". It matches the Rfam family "Bacterial small subunit ribosomal RNA", at positions 355 to 774 of the family's 1533-position model. The record is from RNAcentral.
UGAGGAAUAUUGGGCAAUGCCCGCAAGGGUGACCCAGCAACGCCGCGUGGAGGAUGAAUGUCGUAAGAUUGUAAACUCCUGUUAGAGGGGAAGAAUAGUACCGGUUGGACCGGUAUAUGACUGUACCCUCAGAGAGAGCCCCGGCUAACUACGUGCCAGCAGCCGCGGUAAUACGUAGGGGGCAAGCGUUGUCCGGAUUUACUGGGUGUAAAGGGCGCGCAGGCGGGAUAAAAAGUCAGUGGUGAAAUCCUACAGCUUAACUGUAGAACUGCCUUUGAUACUUUUAUUCUUGAGUUCGGGAGAGAGAGACGGAAUUCCAGGUGUAGUGGUGAAAUACGUAGAUAUCUGGAAGAACACCAGUUGCGAAGGCGGUCUCUUGGUCCGAUACUGACGCUGAGGCGCGAAAGCGUGGGGAGCAAACA